Molecule: small RNA, 4029 nt
Filed under: Pyricularia oryzae
Lineage: Eukaryota; Fungi; Ascomycota; Sordariomycetes; Magnaporthales; Pyriculariaceae
Description: Magnaporthe oryzae sRNA M_BR32_EuGene_00085451
Source: RNAcentral
AAUAAUUUUGCGUCGACGCAAAUAUCAGCCUAUUAUUUUACAUGUUUUUCCACCAAAUAUUAGGGAAUAUUUUCCUUAUUUCGAUCUGGCUCCCAAUAUAUUUGCCUAUAAUAUUGGGAUUUUUAGGAAAGGUCGAGGCCAGCAAAAUGCAAAAUAAUAACAGCACGUAUAAAUGUCGCAAAUUAGUCCACACCUUCCGGUUACGUAUAUAAAUUGUGCAAUUAACGCGAAUAUAUUGUCUGGGUAAUAAAUUUCGCGCAUAUUAUAGCAGGAGGGGUAUAUAUUUUGGGAACCUGGGAUUUUGCGAUUAAUAAUAUCGGUUUUCCCCUAACGUUAGCACCGUAUUGGCCAAUUUUUAAAAAUAGCGGGUAAGGUGGGGCAGCCCAAAGUGCGAUGGGCUGUCGGGACGACGAAGCCCCGACCCACGUAUUACCCCAGGAAAAUAUAGCGGUUUCCGCUGCCCAGGUUUGUAAUCCUGCCGAAUAAAAAGAAUGUAACCACACCGGGAUUAAUAAAUUAAGCUGCAACGUCCAAGUUAUUCGGAUAUAAUAUAUAUGGCAAGUUUCCAAAUAUGCUGUGCUGUAUAAAUUUCCUGGCCGUAUUUUAUAAUUUAAAAAGAAAGAAAAUUAGACUUUAGCCGCCCUGGACCGGAUCCAGAUAUUAUUAUUAGCAGGGGCAGAUUUCGUAUUGUAAAAUCUAGAAUUUUUAAACCGUUAUAAUGGUUGCCGGUGGGGCUAGCUGCUAUUUGUAUCGCAUAGUUUUAUUAUCCUAUUACGUCGUCCAGUGGAAGACGAUGGCGAAAUUAUCCACAGUUCCGAAAUAAUAUAAUUAAUAAAUUGGGUAUAAUAAAGCUAUAGGUACAAUUGUUUCCCGAUAAUAGUCGCCACAAACGGUUUGUUUUAUAUCGUUAUAAAAUGGUCGUAACCGAAAAAUCUCACUUGUUCGGCAACCACCGCCCUAGGGGUGCCUGGUGGAAUUAUUAAUAUAUUCUAUACGCAUUUUUAUUAUUAAUAUGCGUCGGGUGUAAUCCCAUCCUGUUUCUCCUGCACGUCGAAAAUAAUUUAUUUGCCGCCAUUUCCUUCCUUUUGGACCUCUUUUAAAAACGUUUAUAAAGUUUUAUAAAGCCUAUUUUAAAUGCCGUUACAAAUGAAAUACUGAGAAGAAUAACCGACCGUUUAGUGAGACGACUGAUCCGCAAAUCCGACUUGUUUGCUACUAUUGGAAAAACCCUGUUAAAAAUUAAAUCGGCCUUUAUUAUUUUCGUUAAAGUCCUUAGUUAAGCAAGUUUUCCGUUGUACCUAAUAGCCUUUUCCUCGGCCGCGCUAACCGGGGUUUUGGGAUUGGGGACGUUUUAUUUUUUUGCUCCAAUUGUAUAAAAUGCCCAAAAGCUCAAAUUUUCGAAGGAUAAUAAUAUGUAAAUAUUAUAUUUUUCGGCAAUUGAAUUUUAAUUUGACUGAUUUUUUUACAGUAAGGGUUUGGCGCCCAAAUUUAUGGAAGACGGAUGGUUUUAUAUAAAAUCCCUGCAAAAAUUCGAACAAACGUUAAUUUUAUGGAAGUUGUUUAUUUAUUUCGUGGUUAUUUUUGCUUGGUAUUUUUUGGGUAUAAAAAGAGCGGAUAUCGCGAUAUUCGCCAGAUUAGUACAUUAAAUUAGCUUUGUUAAUAACAAUUUUCAAAAAAUGAACCAGACCUACCAAAAGUCCGCUCGCAUUAUAUAAAAGAUAUUAAUGCAAGGCGGUGUUUUUAUAUAUUUUGCUUUUAUAUGCGCGAAUUUUGCGAUUCGCAGGCGUUUGUAGGGAACGGACAUCGAAAUUCAGUAGGCCAGUAAUUACUAUAUAUUGGGAAUGUUUUAGGCCAGUGCCAGCCGUUAAUGGGCAGAAUAAAAUCUUAAUAAUCGAUGCAUAUAUGCAUAAUAUCGUAUGUUUAUCGGAGCUGCCAAAAAUUGGCAAUAUUAAUCCGUUUUAUACGCAGCUGUUGAACUUUUUAGCCAGGGCUAAUAACCAGAUUUAGGCUCGUUUUAAUUUCUCCACUGUUAGGUGUAUAAAAUAUCCACCCAUUAUACCCUUACGUCUCCACUUUUGCACGCCCUUAUCCACAAACCCUGUUUGCACCGCUGCUGGAGGUGAAGAUUACAGGCGGAAAACACUAGCGUUUUCCAAAGAAUUGUUAGCUAGGAAUAAAAUUAUAAAAGAAGAACCACCAUCCUUUUAAAUAUAUGCAGCUCGAUCGUUUGUAGGGGUCCCAGUAAAUAUUUUAACCCAAUAUUACCCUUUCCCUGCCCAUUAUAUAAGUUUAUUUGGGUUAACGUGGGGAUAUAUCCCAAAAAAACCAAUUUUAAAGAACACCGUCCCUCUCCAUUCUGUAUGCUGUUGCCGAAAAUAUAUAUAAUUGUACAGUUAAGCGCAUAUUUAUCGAUUUGCCGCCCUUGUGAAAGUCUCUCUAUUAUAAUUUAGUUAUUUUGAAAUAAUAUUUGUCCUGAAGCGACCGAAUCGCAUGCUUUUUGGUUGUAAUUCUUCCUUUCCGUUUGACGGUAUAUUUUGGUUAUUAUAUGCACCUACCAAUAUAUAUAUUGGAUAAAUUUUCGUCCGGUUAUUUACUUUCUUCACCUCCAGGCAAUAUUUCCAUCCGGGAAACCACAAUUAAUUAAUAAUACCCUUUAUAAAUGGAAUAUAGCUGCGGUUAUUGGAGGACCAUUGUUGCGGAAUAGUGUGGCCGGUAUAAAAACACGUUUUAAUCGCAUAUUCGAUAUCGGCCAGAAAUAUUAUAUUAUACCAAAAACGAUCAAAUCUGCUGUAGGUUGCCUAAUUAAUACCUGCUGGCUUUAAUAAACCUUUAUAUUUUGCAACAAUUACUAAUAUAUGCGAGCUAUUUGAACUAAUCUUAAUUUUAUAACCCAUUGCUAUAAGCAGUUAAACCCAAGGUCUGUUCCAUGAAUGCCCUCGCGCGAACAAAAUAUAAGAAAGUAAAGCCUACCUCUUCCGUUCCUUUUAAUUUAAAUAUAAACCCAGGUUUGUCCACAAUUUGUACGGUUUGUGUAACAAGGGUAUAAUAAUAUAAGAUAGUAAAGAUGAGGAGAUUUUGAUGAAUAAUAUAAUAUUAUGGUAUGUUUGUACCAACGAGCGCCCCAUUUGCAGAGUACGGUUGGAAAGGAGCCCUAUUUACGGUAUAUUAUACGCACUAUAACGUGGAUGUACAAUAUGUGGGCCAGGACAGUAUAUGGGCCAAUGUUAAGAAAUAUAUACGGCGUUAACUCAAAUGUUAACAUAUGGAAAUAAAGCGGGAAUUGGCUAUUAGUAUUUCAACUGACGUCGCAUAUAAUUUUUAAUAUGGCCCACAUAUUGUACAUCCACGUUAUUAUUAGUUAUAUUCUUUCAAAACUGGAGGUGGUUUCGUUAGCGUCUUCCGCGAAACGACGUAAUCGGAUAAUAAGCUACGCGAUGCAAAUGGCGUUCCGGCAGCGAUCCCCAGUUUCAAUUACCAUGCCAGUUUGAAAGUUUUAAAUUUAGAGAAACACGAAGUUUGCCAUUGCGGACAUUAAUCCGGUGCACGGCGGCAGCCAAGGUUGGAUUUUGACCAUUUGGGUCGCGGAAUGCGACCAUGGUGGGAUGGGUGCCAAAGAUAUCGACGCAUUGUAGCAUGGUGGGAAAGAUGCCGGCUUGCCAGGUAUAUUAUAUCCGAAUAGCUCGGAAACUGCAAUUCAGUUUAUUAAACCCGGUGUAAUUACAUUAUUUUUGUUGCAUGCGGUAGGAUAAUUGUACAAAUCGGGGCAACGCACUGGGUUUAAUUAGUAGUUAAUUAACUUACUAACAUAUCGCAUAAAGAUAGAUUUGUCGACCUAACACCCCAUAUUUGGGCUUCCAACUUUCAAGUUUUGGCUAGUAACCGUGUAAUAUGUUUGCUGUUGGGCCAACUUUGUUAAUAAGGUGGAUUUAACUAACCGUAGCCUCGCAGGUUCCCCAAUAUAUACCCACCCGAAAUGCGGGGGUGGCCGGAACACAGGGGUAAUAAUUUAACAGUAAUAAUUGCGGAAUA